RNAcentral lists this ribosomal RNA (420 nucleotides) under uncultured bacterium. RNAcentral's name for it is "bacterial SSU rRNA". It matches the Rfam family "Bacterial small subunit ribosomal RNA", at positions 356 to 773 of the family's 1533-position model. The record is from RNAcentral.
GAGGAAUAUUGGUCAAUGGGCGAGAGCCUGAACCAGCCAAGUCGCGUGAAGGAAGAAGGAUCUAUGGUUCGUAAACUUCUUUUUUAGGGGAAUAAAGUGCGGUACGUGUACCGUUUUGUAUGUACCCUACGAAUAAGGAUCGGCUAACUCCGUGCCAGCAGCCGCGGUAAUACGGAGGAUCCGAGCGUUAUCCGGAUUUAUUGGGUUUAAAGGGUGCGUAGGCGGAAGAAUAAGUCAGUGGUGAAAGUUUGCAGCUCAACUGUAAAAUUGCCGUUGAAACUGUUUUUCUUGAGUGUAAAUGAGGUAGGCGGAAUGUGUUGUGUAGCGGUGAAAUGCUUAGAUAUGACACAGAACACCGAUUGCGAAGGCAGCUUACUAAGAUACAACUGACGCUGAGGCACGAAAGCGUGGGGAUCGAAC